This is a long non-coding RNA of Solenopsis invicta (red fire ant), 330 nucleotides long. RefSeq lists it as uncharacterized. NCBI's taxonomy places the organism in Eukaryota, Metazoa, Arthropoda, Insecta, Hymenoptera, Formicidae. The transcript is spliced from 2 exons. The record is from RefSeq and is a predicted model, not a curated record.
CGACUCACCACGACUCACUAGCUCACACUUCAGUCUCACACGCCAUCUUCUAUUAUAUCAUUUUAUUUGUUUUUUUUUACGUUUUAAUAAUUUAUAUAAAAGUAUCCAAUAUAAAAUAAUUGACCAAAAUAUUUUAUCUUUCUUCAUUUAAUACUUAAAAUUUUUUACAAUUUCCUAUAAAAAAAUCAAUAUAUGCUGCUCGCUUUUCGAGAACUACAAGCUGCUUUUCUCGCUCCUGCUAUCUGUGAACCACUAUGAACUUGCUGAACAAGCAGAGUCAGCUCUUGAUGAUGUUCCUGAUGACGGGCGGCGUCGGCCUCGAAAAUUCCU